UCCUGGUUAACCCAGGCAGUCUUGCUAGAGUUCCCACCAUUACGUGUUGGCAACUAACAAUAAGGGUUGCGCUCGUUGCGGGACUUAACCCAACACCUCACGGCACGAGCUGACGACAGCCAUGCAGCACCUGUGCAGCGGCCCCGAAGGGAAAUAAUAUUUCUACUAUCGUCCACUGCAUGUCAAGUCUGGGUAAGGUUCUUCGCGUUGCAUCGAAUUAAACCACAUGCUCCACUGCUUGUGCGGGUCCCCGUCAAUUCUUUUGAGUUUCACCCUUGCGAGCGUACUCCCCAGGCGGUAUACUUAUCGCGUUAGCUACGACACAACCAGGGUUGAGUCCGGUUACAUCAAGUAUACAUCGUUUACGGCAAGGACUAC
Molecule: unclassified non-coding RNA, 378 nt
Filed under: uncultured Parachlamydiaceae bacterium
Lineage: Bacteria; Pseudomonadati; Chlamydiota; Chlamydiia; Parachlamydiales; Parachlamydiaceae
Description: contains 16S-23S intergenic spacer region
Source: RNAcentral